GUACUGAUGAAGAAUCCCGGACUAGGACGAAACAGCUGUCCAGUAC
This 46-nucleotide non-coding RNA is filed under the name Trichobilharzia regenti. The record is from RNAcentral. Lineage: Eukaryota; Metazoa; Platyhelminthes; Trematoda; Strigeidida; Schistosomatidae.